GUGGGGAAUCUUAGACAAUGGGGGCAACCCUGAUCUAGCCAUGCCGCGUGAGUGAUGAAGGCCUUAGGGUUGUAAAGCUCUUUCAGUGGGGAAGAUAAUGACGGUACCCACAGAAGAAGCCCCGGCUAACUCCGUGCCAGCAGCCGCGGUAAUACGGAGGGGGCUAGCGUUGUUCGGAAUUACUGGGCGUAAAGCGCACGUAGGCGGAUCGGAAAGUUGGGGGUGAAAUCCCAGGGCUCAACCCUGGAACUGCCUUCAAAACUAUCGGUCUGGAGUCCGAGAGAGGUGAGUGGAAUUCCGAGUGUAGAGGUGAAAUUCGUAGAUAUUCGGAGGAACACCAGUGGCGAAGGCGGCUCACUGGCUCGGUACUGACGCUGAGGUGCGAAAGCGUGGGGAGCAAACAGGAUUAGAAACCCUUGUAGUCC
Molecule: ribosomal RNA, 425 nt
Filed under: uncultured bacterium
Lineage: Bacteria
Description: partial 16S ribosomal RNA
Rfam family: Bacterial small subunit ribosomal RNA
Source: RNAcentral